RNAcentral lists this ribosomal RNA (465 nucleotides) under uncultured bacterium. RNAcentral's name for it is "partial 16S ribosomal RNA". It matches the Rfam family "Bacterial small subunit ribosomal RNA", at positions 338 to 795 of the family's 1533-position model. The record is from RNAcentral.
CCUACGGGGGGCAGCAGUGGGGAAUAUUGCGCAAUGGGCGAAAGCCUGACGCAGCGACGCCGCGUGAGGGAUGAAGGUCUUCGGAUCGUAAACCUCUGUCAGCAGGGAAGAACGGUCACUGUGCUAAUCAGCCGUGAAUUGACGGUACCUUCAAAGUAAGCACCGGCUAACUCCGUGCCAGCAGCCGCGGUAAUACGGAGGGUGCGAGCGUUAAUCGGAAUUACUGGGCGUAAAGCGCUCGUAGGCGGUAUGUCAAGUCAAGGGUGAAAUCCCCGCGCUAAACGUGGGAACUGCCUUUGAAACUGGCAAACUGGAGUGUGUGAGAGGAUAGUGGAAUUCCAGGUGUAGGAGUGAAAUCCGUAGAUAUCUGGAGGAACAUCAGUGGCGAAGGCGACUAUCUGGCACAUAACUGACGCUGAGGAGCGAAAGCGUGGGUAGCAAACAGGAUUAGAUACCCCUGUAGUC